GAUGAAGAACGCAGCGAAAUGCGAUAAGUAAUGUGAAUUGCAGAAUUCAGUGAAUCAUCGAAUCUUUGAACGCGCAUUGCGCCCGCGAGUAUUCUCGCGGGCAUGCCUGUCCGAGCGUCAUUUCAACCCUCAGGGCCCGCCUGCUUCGGCAGGCGCGGCGCUGGUGUUGGGGAUCGGCCUAACCGCCGUCCCCCAAAUACAGUGGCGGUCUCGCUGCAGCCUCCCCUGCGUAGUAGCAACACUCGCAUGCGGAGCGCGGCGCGGCCACGCCGUAAAACCCCCGACUUUCUGAACGUUGACCUCGGAUCAGGUAGGAAUACCCGCUGAACUUAAGCAUAUCAAUAAGCGGAGGA
This 353-nucleotide unclassified non-coding RNA is filed under the name soil metagenome. RNAcentral describes it as "partial contains 5.8S ribosomal RNA, internal transcribed spacer 2, and large subunit ribosomal RNA". The stretch from base 1 to 120 matches the Rfam family "5.8S ribosomal RNA", at positions 35 to 154 of the family's 154-position model. The record is from RNAcentral.